GAUGCCUGUUCCAUUCCUGGAUUUAUGCUAAAAUAUGAGGGAGAGUGCCAGUGAAUACAUAAAAUCUAUGAGGCUGUCUGUCAGAUUCCAGGUCCCAAGAGGUACCACUUUUUGAAAGCAGCAGAGAACUCAGUAAGUGGUGUUUGCCAAGUACAUUCUGUGGAAAACCUCACUGGUUUAAUGAAGUUAUAGGUGGCAGAGGACAUCUCAGUUUUGCCUGUGUUUGAGGCAUUGUUUCUCAAGAGGGACCUUGGGCCAGUCCAGGGAGCAGCGAAGAGAAUUUCCCGUGCCAGACCUGCAGGAAUAGCCCCUAUGUUGCAACAAUAUGGAGCGAAUUCCCUUCUCUUUCCAUCCCUUGUGCAGAGCCCUGGUGAGUGAGCUGCCCUGCCUGCCCCCUCCAGCCAGGAUAUGAGAAACACACAGAGGAACAGACACCCUGAUAUGAGAGGCCCACA
Molecule: long non-coding RNA, 455 nt
Organism: Pipra filicauda (Wire-tailed manakin)
Lineage: Eukaryota; Metazoa; Chordata; Aves; Passeriformes; Pipridae
Exons: 3
Source: RefSeq, a predicted model, not a curated record